CCGGGGCGUCCGGCGGCCGUCGUCCAAGGGGCUCCGCUCUCCGUGAACUUGUCACUCUCUGGGUCACUCUCGCCCUCUUCAGGGUGGCGGGGUCCCGGCAGCCGCCGGCGGGCAGGAGCAUCCGUUCCCAGCUGGCUCUGCCCGGCGCCCCGUUCGUUGAGAGAAAUUCUGGCACUCUCAGUGGUGCCCGUCGCUCCGCUAACCCUAAAUGCCUCCUUUCAGGUCUCCCCUCGCACCGCAGGUUACGUUACAGCCGGUCUCUGCCGUCGUGUUUUGCCGGUGCCACGCUGCCCCGGCCGGGAGCUGUUCAUUUUAUCAGCGGCGCAAACACCAACUUCAGGCGCACGGAAUCAUCCAGGGGGCAGUCCGUGCCACCUCGCCUGACAGAAAUGAAAGGGACUUCUUUUGUUUUCAAACCCGAGACUUCUAAGAUUUCUGCAUUAACCAACACUGCUCAUUUGUCGGUAGAAUCAAAAUGUCCUUGCCCCGCGGUCGGCCUGCUGAAGGUGGAUCUACCUUUCCGUAGUCGAGAGCAGCACCAGGCGAUGAGAUACGAACCCGUACGUGGGAGGAAUGCAGAGGAGCUGCGAUCUACCGAACAAAAGGCCUCUGCCGUGCCCAAGCGAGCAUCGGGUUUGGGACAGCUGGCGCUGCAGGGGAGCUGGGGACUGUCAGCGAGUGCAGCUCGGCUGAGUCCCGAGCGAGGUUUCCCAACGCGAACCACACGGCACAGCUCUCUAACUGGGACUAUCCUCUUGCUUUGAACUACGCAGAUGUUGAAAGUACAGUGCUGAAUGGAAAUGUCUUCUUAGCAAUUUACCAUUCAUCUUUGUGCGGUGGUGACAGUUCUGUUUGUUUCCCUGACGCACCCAAAUACCACCUUGCUAUUAGUUUUGUUUUUUACUAAACUGAAGAUUAUUAUACUAAUGCUGAUACCAUCUUCUCGUGUAAAGGGAUUUUUUUUCCCUUCGCGCUUCUUUUUGCUCUUCCGAUGAGUUGGGGGGAGGGGUCUUUAAAAUGAAAAUAGCCCUGAACAGUCUGAGUCCAAAGCUGGG
This 1055-nucleotide long non-coding RNA is filed under the name Serinus canaria (Common canary). Its description in RNAcentral is "lncRNA (ENSSCAG00000002951.1)". Lineage: Eukaryota; Metazoa; Chordata; Aves; Passeriformes; Fringillidae. The record is from RNAcentral.